GAAAACGACUGCUAAGACUGGAUAGGAGAUAAGAAGGCAUCUUCUUAUUUUUAAAAGACCUAGCAAUAGGUAUGCUUAGGGAAGAGCUUGCGUCACAUUAGUUAGUUGGUGGGGUAAUGGCUUACCAAGACGAUGAUGUGUAGCCGGGCUGAGAGGUCGAACGGCCACAUUGGGACUGAGACACGGCCCAAACUCCUACGGGAGGCAGCAGUAAGGAAUUUUCGGCAAUGGAGGAAACUCUGACCGAGCAAUGCCGCGUGAACGAUGAAGUAUUUCGGUACGUAAAGUUCUUUUAUUAGGGAAGAAAAGAUGGUGGAAAAACCAUUAUGACGGUACCUAAUGAAUAAGCCCCGGCUAACUAUGUGCCAGCAGCCGCGGUAAUACAUAGGGGGCAAGCGUUAUCCGGAAUUAUUGGGCGUAAAGGGUGCGUAGGCGGUUAAAUAAGUUUAUGGUCUAAGUGCAACGCACAACGUUGUGAUGCUAUAAAAACUGUUUAGCUAGAGUUGGAUAGAGGCAAGUGGAAUUCCGUGUGUAGUGGUAAAAUGCGUAAAUAUACGGAGGAACACCAGAAGCGAAGGCGGCUUGCUGGGUCUUAACUGACGCUGAGGCACGAAAGCGUGGGGAGCAAACAGGAUUAGAUACCCUGGUAGUCCACGCCCUAAACGAUGAGUACUAAACGUUGGAUAAAACCAGUGUUGAAGUUAACACAUUAAGUACUCCGCCUGAGUAGUACGUACGCAAGUAUGAAACUUAAAGGAAUUGACGGGACUCCGCACAAGCGGUGGAUCAUGUUGUUUAAUUCGAAGGUACCCGAAAAACCUCACCAGGUCUUGACAUGCUUUUGCAAAGCUGUAGAAAUACAGCGGAGGUUAUCAGAAGCACAGGUGGUGCAUGGUUGUCGUCAGCUCGUGUCGUGAGAUGUUGGGUUAAGUCCCGCAACGAGCGCAACCCUUGUUGUUAAUUGCCAUCAUUAAGUUGGGGACUUUAGCAAGACUGCCAAUGAUAAAUUGGAGGAAGGUGGGGACGACGUCAAAUCAUCAUGCCCCUUAUGACCUGGGCUACAAACGUGAUACAAUGGCUGUUACAAAGGGUAGCUAAAGCGUAAGCUUCUGGCGAAUCUCAAAAAAGCAGUCUCAGUUCGGAUUGAAGUCUGCAACUCGACUUUAUGAAGUUGGAAUCGCUAGUAAUCGCGAAUCAGCAUGUCGCGGUGAAUACGUUCACGGGGUUUGUACACACCGCCCGUCA
Molecule: ribosomal RNA, 1245 nt
Filed under: Candidatus Phytoplasma solani
Lineage: Bacteria; Bacillati; Mycoplasmatota; Mollicutes; Acholeplasmatales; Acholeplasmataceae
Description: bacterial SSU rRNA
Rfam family: Bacterial small subunit ribosomal RNA
Source: RNAcentral